UGGGGAAUUGUUCACAAUGGGCGCAAGCCUGAUGACGCAACGCCGCGUGGAGGAUGAAGGUCUUCGGAUUGUAAACUCCUGUUGCUCGGGACGAAAAGCCUCGACCUAACACGUCGAGGUCUGACGGUACCGAGUGAGGAAGCCCCGGCUAACUCUGUGCCAGCAGCCGCGGUAAUACAGAGGGGGCAAGCGUUGUUCGGAAUUACUGGGCGUAAAGGGCGCGUAGGCGGCCCGCUAAGUCGAACGUGAAAUCCCCGAGCUCAACUCGGGAACUGCGUCCGAUACUGGUGGGCUUGAAUCCGGGAGAGGGAUGCGGAAUUCCAGGUGUAGCGGUGAAAUGCGUAGAUAUCUGGAGGAACACCGGUGGCGAAGGCGGCAUCCUGGACCGGCAUUGACGCUGAGGCGCGAAAGCUAGGGGGAGCAAACGGGGGUUAGAUACCCCGGUAGUCCUAGCCCUAAACGAUGAAUGCUUGGUGUGGCGGGUAUCGAUCCCUGCCGUGCCGAAG
RNAcentral lists this ribosomal RNA (506 nucleotides) under uncultured Acidobacteriota bacterium. RNAcentral's name for it is "bacterial SSU rRNA". It matches the Rfam family "Bacterial small subunit ribosomal RNA", at positions 355 to 851 of the family's 1533-position model. Lineage: Bacteria; Pseudomonadati; Acidobacteriota. The record is from RNAcentral.